CCUACGGGGGGCUGCAGUGAGGAAUAUUGGUCAAUGGGCGCGAGCCUGAACCAGCCACGUCGCGUGAGGGAAGACGGUCCUCUGGAUUGUAAACCUCUUUUGUCGGGGAGCAACAGACGCCACGCGUGGCGUUCCGAGAGUCCCCGAAGAAACAGCCUCGGCUCACUCCGUGCCAGCAGCCGCGGUAAUACGGAGGAUGCGAGCGUUCUCCGGAUUUAUUGGGUUUAAAGGGUGCACAGGCGGAAGAUCAAGUCAGCGGUAAAAUUGAGGGGCUCAACCUCUGCGAGCCGUGGAAACUGGUUGUCUUGAGUGAGUGAGAAGUAUGCGGAAUGCGUGGUGUAGCGGUGAAAUGCAUAGAUAGCACGCAGAACUCCGAUUGCGAAGGCAGCAUACCGGCGCUCAACUGACGCUCAUGCACGAAAGUGUGGGUAGCGAACAGGAUUAGAUACCCCUGUAGUC
Molecule: ribosomal RNA, 459 nt
Filed under: uncultured bacterium
Lineage: Bacteria
Description: partial 16S ribosomal RNA
Rfam family: Bacterial small subunit ribosomal RNA
Source: RNAcentral